UACAGAGGUGGCAAGCGUUGUUCGGAUUUAUUGGGCGUAAAGGGUCCGUAGGCGGUUUGGAUAGUCAGAUGUGAAAUCCCACAGCUCAACUGUGGAACUGCAUUUGAAACUUCCAGACUAGAGUAUGAGAGGGGUAAGGGGAAUUCCCGGUGUAAGGGUGAAAUCUGCAGAGAUCGGGAGGAACACCAGUCGCGAAGGCGCCUUACUGGCUCAUUACUGACGCUCAGGGACGAAAGCUAGGGGAGCAAACGGG
RNAcentral lists this ribosomal RNA (253 nucleotides) under uncultured bacterium. RNAcentral describes it as "partial 16S ribosomal RNA". It matches the Rfam family "Bacterial small subunit ribosomal RNA", at positions 524 to 776 of the family's 1533-position model. The record is from RNAcentral.